GAUGAACGCUAGCGGGAGGCCUAACACAUGCAAGCCGAGCGGUAUUUGUCCUUCGGGACAGAGAGAGCGGCGUACGGGUGCGGAACACGUGUGCAACCUGCCUUUAUCUGGGGGAUAGCCUUUCGAAAGGAAGAUUAAUACCCCAUAAUAUAUCGAAUGGCAUCAUUCGAUAUUGAAAACUCCGGUGGAUAGAGAUGGGCACGCGCAAGAUUAGAUAGUUGGUGAGGUAACGGCUCACCAAGUCAGUGAUCUUUAGGGGGCCUGAGAGGGUGAUCCCCCACACUGGUACUGAGACACGGACCAGACUCCUACGGGAGGCAGCAGUGAGGAAUAUUGGACAAUGGGGGAGGGCCUGAUCCAGCCAUCCCGCGUGAAGGACUAAGGCCCUAUGGGUUGUAAACUUCUUUUAUACUGGGAUAAACCUACUUACGUGUAAGUAGCUGAAGGUACAGUAUGAAUAAGCACCGGCUAACUCCGUG
This 479-nucleotide ribosomal RNA is filed under the name uncultured bacterium. Its description in RNAcentral is "partial 16S ribosomal RNA". It matches the Rfam family "Bacterial small subunit ribosomal RNA", at positions 28 to 507 of the family's 1533-position model. The record is from RNAcentral.